UUUUUUUUUUGUCAUCCAACUAUGAAAAUUUACAAAAUGGUAAGUCUUUUUUAGUCACCCAAGUAUCUUGGAUUUUUUGGUGUUUUCAUUUUUAUGUUAGUCAGCUAGUGACCAAAAAAGACAAUAUUGAAUAGUUGAGUGACCAUUUUGUAACUUUUUAUAGUUUUGUGACCAUUUUGUAAUUUUUCAUAGUUAGGUGACCAAAAAAGAAAUUUACUUAUAAUUGAGUGACUACUAGUGUAGUUUCCCAUAGAGUUAUAUAGAUAUACAUGUAAUCCAUUCAAAAUGGUAACUUAACUAUUCAAUUUUGUCUUUUUUUAAUUAUCUAACUAUCUUGGAUUUUUGGAUGUUUUCAUUUUUAUGACCAAAAAAGGCAAAUUUAAAUAGUUGAGUAACUAUUUUGUAACUUUUCAUAAUUUAAUGACCAAAAAAGAAAUUUACUAAUAAUUAGUGACUAUUUUAUAAAUUUUCAUAAUUAAAUAGCCAAAAAAAAGUUUUACUAAUAAUUGAGAAAGUGUAGCUUACCCAUAGAGUUAUAUAAAUAUACAUAUAAUCAAUUCAAAUUUUAUUGUGACGUUGAUACGUUUUCUUUUAAGAUUUCUUGCAUUUUCUAUUUUACCAUUUAUCAUGUAAUUGAAAAUUUUUAUAAAUAACAAAUAAAUGCUAGAUAUAAUGGUAAGAUAUUGUAUUGUCAAGAGAAGACUUGGAUUCAAAUUUUGGAGACAAUAUUAUUAAAAAGUAUAAAUAUAAACUCUAAAAGAUUAAUAUUCAUAAAUCGUUUAAAAAUUUUAAAUCAAUAUAAAAUCUAAUCCGAUAAAAAUUUUCAAGUGAAAAGUUUUUAAAAUUAGAAAUUCAAAUUUUAAAGGGAAAAAUUCAAUGUAAAACCAAAUCUUUUCCAUGUUUAUUUAAUCAUUCUAACUUUUAUUUACAAAAAAAAAUGAUACAUUCCGAUAUAAAAUGAAAUAAUAUAAGUGAAAGUAUCAUAAAACCCCUUGAAUUGAGUGUUUAAUUAUAUAUUUUUUCUUUACUCAAAAAUUAGAUAAAAUAAUAAUUAAAAAUUCCAAAUUUAAAAAAUCAACGUAAGACCGAAUCUUUUCCAUAUUUAUUUUUCAUAACUUCCAUUUAAAAUAAAAAGGUAGAAUGAUGCAUGCCAAUAUAAAAUGAAAAUGUAGCUAAAAACAUCAUAAAUAUUUUUGUAUUAAGAGUUGAAUUACAUUUUGUCCUCCUUAUUCAUACAAUAGGCAAAAUAAUUUUGAAAAUUCCAAUUUUAAAAGGGAAAAAGGUAAUUUAAGAGAAAACCUUUUCCAUUUUUAUUUACUCUAACUUCUAUUUACAAAAAAUAAAGAAGGUAAAAUGACAUAUUCUGAUAUAAAAUGAACCAGUGGUAGGUAAAGGUAUUAUAGAGACCAUUAUAUUAGGAGCCGGAUUGUAUUUCAUUUCUUAGAUUAAAAAAGUGGAUAAAUAAUUUAUGUGGGUUAGAUUAAAGAGUAAACUGAUAUUUUUGUUGAAAAUUUUAUUGAUUUAUAAUGUUAAAAACUAACUUAUCAAUGUACUUUAAUAUGAGGUAUAUAGUACGUCAUAUAUAACUAUUUAAUUAUUCCGUCAUUAAUAUUAAUUUUUAACAAUAAAAAUAAAUAAAACAAAAAAUAGGCAAUGUAGGGUUAGAAUAGAAAUAUAAAAGAUGAUUAUCACGAGAAGAUAAAAUGAGAAAAUUGAAAGUGGUGGCUGCCCUGCAAAGUCCAAAGUGACGCCCAUCACUCGCACUCCCUCCUGCUCCUUUUCUUUUUCCACAUCUCCCACGUGUCCUUGCACAUUGCUUCUAUUUACACAUGUUUAGAUAAUAAUGGAUUUCAUUCGAUUCAGUAUAAUAUCAAAAUCCAUAGGGCAGUUAAAAUGCUAAUUCCAGCGUCCAACAUGUUUGAAAAGAUAAUGGUGGAAAUGUAAAAGGAAUUACAAGUUUCACACCUACAAACUGAGGUAUGGUGAUUUAUGUAUUGGUUGUUUUAAGAUAUACGUAAUAGAUCUGGUUGGAUUUUGUUUGUUUCGGCCUAGAGACAAGCUCCCCCAAAUUGGGCAUCAACAUCUGGAAAAGAUUAACCAACACCACACUCCUUCCCCCCAAAAUAGCAAAAUUGUAUCAAUAAAACAAUAGAUUUUCAAUAUGAAUGUAAAUCCCUCAGAAAUCUAGCUCAAGGAAUGAUGACAUAUAACAUCACUGCUACUAUAGAAAAUGUUUCUGUGCAGUGACUUCAAUGUCAAAGAACUCAAAUGUUUUAAUUGUUUUAUCCCUCCAUGACUGAUUUCAAUUUGCAGAUCAUAAACAGUCACUAUUGUUCUACCAAUUGUGUUAUCUAUGAAUGAAUACCAUCACUAUUUGACUUCCCAAGAUACUCCACCUCCGCAAUCAUACUUACCACCUUCCUAUACAUGUUUAAGUUUCCACACCAUUCAUAAUAACCUCCUCAAUCAGAAAAACUGACAACAAGAGCUUAAAUUCAAGCAUGACACAAUGCUAAAUUAGAAAACAUGGAAUCACCCCUCAUAUCAAACAAGAAGUUUGAUAAUUCAUUAGUGAGUGGUGCCAAAAAAGUAUACCUACUGCCCAGGGAUUUAAAUUGCGGUUGCGACUACGUUUUCGGUUGCAUUGCAUUUAUCGUGGUUGCGGACAUAAUGGAUACUAUUGCGGUUACUGUGGGUAUCGCGAUCGUGAAUUUUUUUAAAAAUUCAUAAACUUAUUGUAAAAUAUAAUAAUUAUAAUUAUAAUUAUUAUCACUUUUAAUGAUUUUUAGAGCGUUUUCUAACACUUAUGAACUUUUAUUAAUAUGAGAACACAAUUUUUAUAAUCAUUAAUUUUUCUUAUAUUUAUUUACAAAUUUUCUAAGAAUUUUAUAUUAACUAAUAACAAAGUAAAAAAAAAAGAAAUAUUAAACAUUCAUCAUAUUUAAUAAGUUUGAAAGUUUUUAUAGAUAAAUAAUUGAAAAUUCAUACAUGAGAGAGAUCUUCAAUAUUUUUUAACAGAUUUGAAGAUGCUGAAGAUAACAAAUCAUUCUAUGCUGAAAAAGGAAAAGAUGAAUGUAUAGAUUCUCAUUAAUUAUUCCUAUUUCCUACCACUUAUUCUCACUCUCAUUCUACUUUCAUAUAUAGUUUAACAUGCUUCGAUUCUUAAUUAUCUUUUCAUAAAAUAUAUUACAUUCAUUUAUCUAAAGAUGUAUUUUAAAUGUCUUAAUAUCAUUAAAAUUAAAAACAUUAACAAAAGUUUUCUUUAAAAAAAAUACCUUACAGAUAGUGGUAGUGGUACGAUUUAGUUUUCACCAAUUAGUGGAAUGAUGAGGAGGAUUAGAUCCUUCACCUUCACUUUGAGAGCGUUCUUGACUUGAUUCUCUUAGCCUUUGUCCAAAAAUAUAAAAAAAAAAAAACAUUUUCACCUUGGUUUUCAUAUAAUUGAUAUGGAGGAUAUAUUUGAGGAGGAAGAUAUAUGAGAGGUGGAGGUGGGUGAUACAUUGGUGGUGGUGGAUGCAUUUGAGGCUAGUAUGACACACCAUAAUUAGGAAAUGGUGGAUAAUAACCAUAUGGUUGUGGAUAACCAUGUGAAGGUUGAAAAUAUGGAGGUUGUUCUGGUGGAUAAAAACCUUAAGUGCUAAUAGAUGAAUCACUAUACCCAAGGUUACUAGAAUUCAAUCUCCUACCAGAUGAAGAGCCUAUAGAAGUAUGCUUCUUGUCUUUUCCUUUUGAUGGAGCUUUAGGUUCACUUCUAUCUCUCCUAGGUUCAGGAAACAUAUUUCCAUCAAAUUCUGAUCUAUCACGGAAAUGUCCACUAGUGGUACCAACCCCAUAUUCUCCUCUAUACCGACUAGAAGACCUAAUUUCACCUCUAUCUCUACUAUAUCCAUCAUCAUCAUCAAUUGAACUUAAACCACCACCAUCGGGUCCAUCGCCAUUCUAACUUGGAGUUGCACUAGAACUUGAAUGAGAUAAAUUUUUUUCUUGAGAUUGAUCAACAUUCAUUUCAUCAUCAGAGGUAUCCACAAGCAACACAGCGACAUUUUCACCAUCUAACAACAGAUUCUCUUUCUCAUGAAGCCAUUCUGAUAGUGGAUCAACAUCUUCAAAGAUAUGAAGGCUGAUAGGAUUAAAACUAGCUUUUAUAUCAUCAAUGCUCAUUAUUUUUUGAUGCAUUAUCUGAAGCCUCAUAUUAUAAUAGGUAAACACUAGUUUCUUAAGUUUUUUAUACUUCAACAUAUUUCUUGCCUUGGUGUGAAUAUAACUAAAUGUGCUCCAAUUUCGUUCGCAAUUUGAUGCAGAAGUUAUUUGACUAAGCACUUUAAUUGCUAAUUUUUGUAACUCAGGAACACAUGUGCCGUAUAUUAUCCACCACUCAACUACAUAAUAUUAUUUAAAUUUCAAAAUAACUUUGAAAUGUACAAUAUAAUUAAAUAAUAUAAAUUAGAUUAAAUAAUUUAAUUAACUAUUUACCCGGAUUCAUUUGCUUCCAAGCUCUUUGGGCUUGUGGAGUACCGAAUGUCUCAUGUUUAUCUCUAAAUAGUAACAACUGCAUAAAUAAAAGAUAAAGUAAAAAAAAAAUUCUAUUUCAAAUUAUGUAACUAAGUUACAAAUAAUAGUACUUGAAUCUAACUUGAUUAACCAUUCUGACUUGAGUAUCAAGAGAAGGUUCUAAUCUUUCAAUUACUGAUCUUGUACCUUCUAAUGUUUCUAUUAGUACAUUCUCAGAAUGCUCCACCCCAAAUUGAAAUUGAGGAUUGAAAAAAUAACCUAAGCAUAAUUUAUAAGAAUAUCAUCAAAUAAUAUUCUAAAGCUUAAAAUAAUAAAAUAUAAAAAUAGUUCUUAGUUAUAUGAAACAUUUUAUCUUACCAGCUGAAUGUAAACUGAAAUGCAUAAAAUUCCAUCUAUUGUCAAUAAUAUUUUCGUACUCGGUGAAAUAUCGACAAUCUUGUUGAAUUGCUCAUUUAGCUCUAUCAACAACCUCAUAAAUAAAGUCCAUUGUUGGUUUUUCAUCACCAUCCACAAGUCUCAAUUCUUUUACUAGGGGCUCGUAAACUUUUAUGAGGUCGUUGGCUUUUUUCCAAAAAUAUUUUCCCAAAACAAUUUUUUUGGCUUCAUAAGCAAGCUCUGACUUUUACUGUCCCCAUUUUGAUUCUUUAAAUUCCUAUAUAUUCAUAAGAAAAUUUUAAUUCACGCUUAGUGCACUUUGUGCAGAAGUGUUUUGGGAUUCAAAGUUUAAUUCAUAUGCCUAAAAAUAGAAUAAAUUUACGGACAAGAAAGUAAAAUCAGAUUUCACAGAAACGAGAUAAAAAGAACUAAAUUUACAGAAAUCAGUGUGGUCACUAUUAAGUAAUCUACGAUGAAAAUAAAAAAAAUAAGGGGGUUUAAUUAGUCUGAAAGAAAGAAAAUAAAUUUAAAUAAGAGAAAAUAGAAUGAUGUGUUGGAAAAUAAUUAUUGAGUGAUGAAUGAUAAAUUGAUACUCAAAUUAAACAAUUGUAUCUCUUGGUUUAAUAUUGUAUUUUUUUCAUACAGUUGUAUCUUUUGAAAAAAUGUAUCUCUUGGUUUAAUAUUGAAUUUUUUUCAUUUAUUGUCUCUAUUCACUCAUAUCUAUUAAUUUUUCAACAAAUCUCUUCAUUCUUUUCCUCUCCUCUAUAUAAAGUCAAGUUAGGAGAUUUCAAAAACGUAUCAUCAAAAAACUAUCAAUAUUUUAAAUUCCUUAUAAAUUCAUUUCUCCUGGUAAUAGAGAAAGGCAAGAGUGCUCAAUUGAUUAUUGUUGUUGUGCUACUACUGUGAUUUUUGGUUGUUGUAUCCUGGGAGACAGACGUCCAACAUUACUCAAAGCACCGAGGAGAGGUCGAAUUUGUCUUAAGGAAACUGUUUAUACAGGCCUCAACAAAAUUCUUCUUCUAAUUUUUAACUUUGUCCAAUUACAAGUAUUCUAUUAUGUUACUACUACUACAUUGUAUUGCAUUAUUAUUUUUAUUAACAUAUUAAUACUACAUAUGAUAUCAAAUUUUCUUACAAUCUUAAGACAGAUUAAUUGUUGUAAUUUUAAUCUAAAGCGUACAGAUUACCAUCAUAACUUAUUUAAGAUUGGUUUAUACUUCUGUUUUGGAUUUUAAUUUAUUUAUAAAUUCUAGUUCUUUAUUCCGAUUAUAAAAAAAUGUCUCACACGUCAAACAACUCAUCCAAUUUAAAGGCUGAGGCAAUUGUCGUUGCUCAAGUUCAGGAUGCAAGCCAAACGUUACCUGUGGCUAUGAGUCACAAUGAAAAGCCUGCGAAAUUCACUAGAGAGAAUUUUAAAACAUGGCAACAGAAAAUGUUGUUCUAUUUGACCAUGUUGAAUAUGACAAAAUUUUUGAAGGAUGAUCCUUCUAUUUUUAGAGAGGAUGAGGAAGAUGCUAUUACCGCCUUCAACAUUGUCGAAGCACGGAACAACUUUGAUUUCCUAUGUCGUAACUAUAUUUUGAACAGUUUAUCUGAUGAACUUUACGAAGUAUACAGUAUUAAGAAAACGACUAAGGAAUUAUGGGAAUCGCUGGACCAUAAAUACAAAACUGAAGAUGUUAGUGCUAAUAAAUUCUUAGUUAAAGUUCUUAAACUUUGUAAUGGUUGAUUCUAAAGCUGUUGUAAAUCAGGUGCAGAAAUUCCAACUAAUCAUUCAUGGUAUUCUCGUAGAAGGGAUGGAGAUAAGUGAAUCCCUUUAGGUGGCAACCAUUAUUGAAAAACUUCCCCCUGUUUGGAAUGACUUCAAGAACUAUCUUAAGCAUAAGAGAAAAGAAAUGACGGUGGAAGAUCUGAUUGUCAGACUUCGAAUUGAAGAAGACAAUCGAGGUGCGACUAAAAGGCUAAAAAAAGCAACCAAUCCUAACAUUACCAAAGUAAACGUAGUGGAAGUCAAUGAGGACUCCAAGAAAAGAAAACAUUCUCAGACUGGGUCUAGACUAGGACUAAAAGGCGGUGUUUUCAAGAAACCAAAAUUCUAAGGAAAAUGCUUUAAUUGUAAUAAGAUGGGGCACAAGUCAUCUGGUUGUAGGCUUCUAAAGAGGGUCAGAACAAACGAGGCCAACGCUGUGGAAAAUAUUUCUAAAGAAGUAUCUGAUCUUAACCUUUAUGUUGUGAUUUCUAAAGUCAACUUGGUUGAUUUAAAUCAAGAGAAUGGUGGCUUGAUACUGGUGCCACACAUCAUAUUUGCUGUGACAAGGACUCUUUUGUUGAGUUGGUUCCUUGUGAGAAAUGGGAGAAACUCUAUAUGGGCAAUGCCACAACUUCCAAGAUUAAGGGGAAAGGCACUGUAAUUUUGAAGUUUUGGCAAAUAGUUGAAACUUUAAAAUGUGUCGUAUGUGCUCGACAUAUGCAAGAAUCUUAUCUCUGGGACCCUCCUAAGUAUGCAUAGCUUUAAGAUGAUAUUUGAAUCCCAAAAGUCAGUUUUGUCAAAAGGGGGAACAUUUGUGAGAAGGGGAAAUGUAUUAAAUGAUAUGUGGAAACUCAAUGCUAUAUCUGUAAAAGCUAAUAGUAUGAAUAAGAAUAAUGAUUCUUCUUUUGUUUAUAUGUUUGAGUUAUUUGAUUUAUGGAACGGUUGACUCGGACAUGUUAAUUCUAAUACUUUACAUAGACUAAUUAACUUAGAGCACAUUCCUUUAUUUCACAUUAAUCAUAAUCAUAAAUGUGAAACAUAUGUUGAGGCAAAACUAACAAGGCCUUCUUUUCAAUCUAUUGAAAGAAAUACUGAAUCACUUGAUCUAAUACAUAGUGAUAUUUGUGACUUAAAUUUUUUUCAAACUAGAGGAGUGAAUAAAUAUUUUAUUACAUUCAUUGAUGAUAGCACAAAAUAUUGCUAUGUAUAUUUGCUUAAAAACAAAGAUAAAACUGUAGAGAAAUUUGUUCUCUAUAAGUAGUGUAAUAGCCUAAAUUUGCCCGGCCCACAUACAUUUCAAAAAUAAAUAAAUAAAUAAAUAAGGUCCAAAUGUCCAUUACAUUGACCCAAUUUAAAAAAACCCGAAAUUACAUACCCAAAGUCCAAUUAACAAAAACCCAAUACCUAAAGCCUGACACGGCCCAACCUAGCCCAAAACAUUCCCUAAACACAAACCCUAGCAGCAAUGGCUCACAGCGCAGCAGCAGCAGCACCUCUCAGCCUUCCCUCGCAUGUGCGCCGCCGCCAUGUGCCACGCCUCCACGUCCACUGCUCCGUACGGCCGUACCUGCAACAAACAGAGGCAGACAAAACAACAACAGCAAGAAAAUACAGGGAUAGGAGAUUUUUUCUGUAAUUUUCUAUUUUAUUUUUCUGUCGUUUCUCGGCUAUAAGGCCAUCUUCAAGAAUUUGUAAACGGGGAAUAUCAACACAGACGCGCAUAUUGUAUAGAAAAAAAAUAUUCAAAGAAAUAAAAAAAAAACAGAGGUUUCGAAAAGUGAUCGGAGUUUUUCUUCUGACUAUUCCUUUUUCAAUUUUUUUAAUGUUUAGAUUGCUGUUUUAAAAAAGGGGAAAACCAUUUCAAAAGGAAAGGAAUGAAAAUAUCGCAGUGAGUUUUAGGUUUUUUCUUCUUUCGAUUUCACUAUUUCCCUUUUAUUAUUUUAUUGUUUAUUCGUCAAAAAAUGAUUUAGAAGACAGAAGAUUACCUGAAAUACUAAGUCUCCGCUUGCUCCGUCGUGAUCGGAACCCUGGGGAGGUUCGCGAAGCCUCAAAACAACCCGAAUGUCCGAGCGGCGCAUGCAGGAGGAGAUGGUUUAGGUUUUUUUAGUUUGAUUUGUGAAUGGAGACGGCGGGGUAGCAUUUAGGUUUUUUU
RNAcentral lists this long non-coding RNA (8789 nucleotides) under Gossypium raimondii (Peruvian cotton). RNAcentral's name for it is "long non-coding RNA (GRAI_LNC002936)". Lineage: Eukaryota; Viridiplantae; Streptophyta; Magnoliopsida; Malvales; Malvaceae. The record is from RNAcentral.